RNAcentral lists this ribosomal RNA (253 nucleotides) under uncultured bacterium. Its description in RNAcentral is "partial 16S ribosomal RNA". It matches the Rfam family "Bacterial small subunit ribosomal RNA", at positions 524 to 776 of the family's 1533-position model. The record is from RNAcentral.
UACGUAGGGGGCAAGCGUUGUCCGGAAUCAUUGGGCGUAAAGGGCUCGUAGGCGGCCAACUAAGUCGGAUGUGAAAUCCCCAGGCUCAACCUGGGAACUGCAUCCGAUACUGGAUGGCUUGAAUUCGGGAGAGGGAUGCAGAAUUCCAGGUGUAGCGGUGAAAUGCGUAGAUAUCUGGAGGAAUACCGGUGGCGAAGGCGGCAUCCUGGACCGACAUUGACGCUGAGGAGCGAAAGCCAGGGGAGCAAACGGG